This 497-nucleotide ribosomal RNA is filed under the name Acinetobacter baumannii. RNAcentral's name for it is "bacterial SSU rRNA". It matches the Rfam family "Bacterial small subunit ribosomal RNA", at positions 1 to 491 of the family's 1533-position model. The record is from RNAcentral. Lineage: Bacteria; Pseudomonadati; Pseudomonadota; Gammaproteobacteria; Moraxellales; Moraxellaceae.
GCCGCUGCAGAGUUUGAUCCUGGCUCAGAUUGAACGCUGGCGGCAGGCUUAACACAUGCAAGUCGAGCGGGGGAAGGUAGCUUGCUACUGGACCUAGCGGCGGACGGGUGAGUAAUGCUUAGGAAUCUGCCUAUUAGUGGGGGACAACAUCUCGAAAGGGAUGCUAAUACCGCAUACGUCCUACGGGAGAAAGCAGGGGAUCUUCGGACCUUGCGCUAAUAGAUGAGCCUAAGUCGGAUUAGCUAGUUGGUGGGGUAAAGGCCUACCAAGGCGACGAUCUGUAGCGGGUCUGAGAGGAUGAUCCGCCACACUGGGACUGAGACACGGCCCAGACUCCUACGGGAGGCAGCAGUGGGGAAUAUUGGACAAUGGGGGGAACCCUGAUCCAGCCAUGCCGCGUGUGUGAAGAAGGCCUUAUGGUUGUAAAGCACUUUAAGCGAGGAGGAGGCUACUUUAGUUAAUACCUAGAGAUAGUGGACGUUACUCGCAGAAUAAGC